Long non-coding RNA from Cottoperca gobio, 436 nucleotides. RefSeq lists it as uncharacterized. The transcript has 3 exons. The record is from RefSeq and is a predicted model, not a curated record. NCBI's taxonomy places the organism in Eukaryota, Metazoa, Chordata, Actinopteri, Perciformes, Bovichtidae.
GUUAAAGGGGAUACUGUUCUCUAUAUCAAACCACCCAACUACUUCUGCGAGUGAAGGUCCUGUAUUGAGUCUGCGGCAACAAAGACCCUCAUUCUGCCUGACACUGGAGACGUUGUCCUGGCUAGAGCGAGGUCUGUGUCCUGGGACAGAGCGAUGCCAGCCAGCAAGAGAUGAUCCAUGCGUCCUGGCAUAGUCUAGGUCCUGUUGCGAGUGCAGAUGAAACGCAGUACUGACCAGGCUGAAUCACACCAGGACCUCUGGCCAAGACACUUUUGCUCAGUCGGUGCCAGACGUGCAAAACAGGUCACUCCACCCUGACCUUUCCUGAGCUGAACAGGAGCCGACACUCUUCAGCUACAGUCAGAACUCACGUCGAAGUACAAUGAGAAAUGGCUUUUUCCUGAAUGAUGGCUGUUCUUGCAUCAUUGAGUGCUUG